RNAcentral lists this transfer RNA (85 nucleotides) under Phycisphaerales bacterium. Its description in RNAcentral is "tRNA-Leu". It matches the Rfam family "tRNA". Rfam says of the family: Transfer RNA (tRNA) molecules are approximately 80 nucleotides in length. The record is from RNAcentral. Lineage: Bacteria; Pseudomonadati; Planctomycetota; Phycisphaerae; Phycisphaerales.
GCGAGCGUGGCGGAAUUGGCAGACGCGCCAGGUUUAGGUCCUGGUGUCCGAUAAGGACGUGGAGGUUCGAGUCCUCUCGCUCGCA